GACAGAGGGUGCAAGCGUUAAUCGGAAUUACUGGGCGUAAAGGGUGCGUAGGUGGAUACGUAAGUCAGAUGUGAAAUCCCCGGGCUUAACCUGGGAACUGCAUAUGAUACUGCGAAUCUAGAGUAUGGUAGAGGUAAGUGGAAUUUCCGGUGUAGCGGUGAAAUGCGUAGAUAUCGGAAGGAACAUCAGUGGCGAAGGCGACUUACUGGACUGAUACUGACACUGAGGCACGAAAGCGUGGGGAGCAAACAGG
This 253-nucleotide ribosomal RNA is filed under the name uncultured bacterium. Its description in RNAcentral is "partial 16S ribosomal RNA". It matches the Rfam family "Bacterial small subunit ribosomal RNA", at positions 524 to 776 of the family's 1533-position model. The record is from RNAcentral.